Molecule: ribosomal RNA, 475 nt
Filed under: uncultured organism
Description: partial 16S ribosomal RNA
Rfam family: Bacterial small subunit ribosomal RNA
Source: RNAcentral
UACACUCCUGCGGGAGGCAGCAGUGGGGAAUUUUGGACAAUGGGCGAAAGCCUGAUCCAGCCAUGCCGCGUGCAGGAUGAAGGCCUUCGGGUUGUAAACUGCUUUUGUACGGAACGAAACGGCCUUUUCUAAUAAAGAGGGCUAAUGACGGUACCGCAAGAAUAAGCACCGGCUAACUACGUGCCAGCAGCCGCGGUAAUACGUAGGGUGCAAGCGUUAAUCGGAAUUACUGGGCGUAAAGCGUGCGCAGGCGGUUAUGUAAGACAGUUGUGAAAUCCCCGGGCUCAACCUGGGAACUGCAUCUGUGACUGCAUAGCUAGAGUACGGUAGAGGGGGAUGGAAUUCCGCGUGUAGCAGUGAAAUGCGUAGAUAUGCGGAGGAACACCGAUGGCGAAGGCAAUCCCCUGGACCUGUACUGACGCUCAUGCACGAAAGCGUGGGGAGCAAACAGGAUUAGAAACCCUGGUAGUCCCAU